CCUACGGGGGCAGCAGUCGAGAAUCAUUCACAAUGGGGGAAACCCUGAUGGUGCGACGCCGCGUGGGGGAAUGAAGGUCUUCGGAUUGUAAACCCCUGUUAUGUGGGAGCAAAUUAAAAAGACAGUACCACAAGAGGAAGAGACGGCUAACUCUGUGCCAGCAGCCGCGGUAAUACAGAGGUCUCAAGCGUUGUUCGGAAUCACUGGGCGUAAAGCGUGCGUAGGCUGUUUCGUAAGUCGGGUGUGAAAGGCGGGGGCUCAACCGGCGGACGGUAGAUGAUACUGCGUGACUAGAGUAAUGGAAGGGGAGCCGGAAUUCUCGGUGUAGCAGUGAAAUGCGUAGAUAUCGAGAGGAACACUCGUGGCGAAGGCGAGUUCCUGGACAUUAACUGACGCUGAGGCACGAAGGCCAGGGGAGCGAAAGGGAUUAGAUACCCGGGUAGUC
RNAcentral lists this ribosomal RNA (445 nucleotides) under uncultured bacterium. Its description in RNAcentral is "partial 16S ribosomal RNA". It matches the Rfam family "Bacterial small subunit ribosomal RNA", at positions 338 to 795 of the family's 1533-position model. The record is from RNAcentral.